CGGUAAUUCCAGCUCCAAUAGCGUAUACUAAAGUUGUUGCAGUUAAAAAGCUCGUAGUUGGAUUUCUGCGGGGACGGAGCGGCCGGACGCAACUUGCGUCUCGAGCUAGCGCUUUCCCCGCAUCCUGCCACGAACCGUGCUACCAUUAGUUUGGUGGCGCUGGGGAUCGGCUCGAUUACUUUGGGAAAAAUAGAGUGUUCAAAGCAGGCCACACGCCUUGAAUAAGUUAGCAUGGAAUAAUGACUAACGACUUCGGUUCUAUUUUGUUGGUGUUUGGGACUGAAGUAAUGACUGAUAGGGACAGUUGGGGCGGUCUGUAUUCCAAAGCGAGAGGUGAAAUUCUUAGACCUUCGGAAGACAAACAGCUGCGAAAGCGUUCCGCAAGGAUGUUCCCUUUGAUCAAGAACGAAAGUUGGGGGAUCGAAGACGAUCAGAUACCGUCGUAGUCUCAACUAUAAACUAUACCAGCUAGGGAUCGGCCAACGUUUAAUUAAUCGACUUGGUCGGCACCUUAUGAGAAAUCAAAGCAUCUGGGUUCCGGGGGGAGUAUGGUCGCAAGGCUGAAACUUAAAGGAAUUGACGGAAGGGCACCACCAGCCGUGGAGCCUGUGGCUUAAUUUGACUCAACACGGGAAAACUUACCAGGUCCAGACAUAGGAAGGAUUGACAGAUUGAUAGCUCUUUCUUGAUUCUGUGGGUGGUGGUGCAUGGCCGUUUUUAGUUGGUGGAGUGAUUUGUCUGCUUAAUUGCGUUAACGAACGAGACCCCAGCCUGCUAAAUAGCGCGGCUGAGCUUUGCUCGGUGCGAGCUUCUUAGAGGGACCAUGAUGCGCGAUAGCACAAGGAAGUUUGGGGCAACAACAGGUCUGUGAUGCCCUUAGAUGUUCUGGCCGCACACGGGCUACACUGGCGCCUGCAACGAGCAUAUCAGCUGGCCCGAGAGGGUCUUGGCUAAUCUUUGGAACCGGCGCCGUGCUUGGGAUUGACCAUUGCAAUUGUUGGUCAUGCAACGAGGAAUGCCUUGUAAACGCGAGUCAUCAGCUCGCAUUGAAUACGUCCCUGCCCUUUGUACACACCGCCCGUCGCUCCUACCGAUGAAUGUUCCGAUGAAAUUUUCGGAGAGCGCCGGAGAACGGGGCUCUGCCCUGCAGAACUGGAGGCUCAAAGUCACUUAAAUCUGAACAUUUCGAGGAAGGAGAAGUCGUAACAAGGUAGCCG
RNAcentral lists this ribosomal RNA (1217 nucleotides) under uncultured Rhizaria. RNAcentral describes it as "SSU rRNA". It matches the Rfam family "Eukaryotic small subunit ribosomal RNA", at positions 577 to 1805 of the family's 1831-position model. The record is from RNAcentral.